UGGAGUGAGGCUCAGUGAUAGAGCACUUGCCUGGCACGUGUGAGGCCUGAGUUCGAUCCUCAGCACCACAU
Molecule: transfer RNA, 71 nt
Filed under: Marmota monax (woodchuck)
Lineage: Eukaryota; Metazoa; Chordata; Mammalia; Rodentia; Sciuridae
Rfam family: tRNA
About the family: Transfer RNA (tRNA) molecules are approximately 80 nucleotides in length. Their secondary structure includes four short double-helical elements and three loops (D, anti-codon, and T loops). Further hydrogen bonds mediate the characteristic L-shaped molecular structure. tRNAs have two regions of fundamental functional importance: the anti-codon, which is responsible for specific mRNA codon recognition, and the 3' end, to which the tRNAs corresponding amino acid is attached (by aminoacyl-tRNA synthetases). tRNAs cope with the degeneracy of the genetic code in two manners: having more than one tRNA (with a specific anti-codon) for a particular amino acid; and 'wobble' base-pairing, i.e. permitting non-standard base-pairing at the 3rd anti-codon position.
Source: Rfam by way of RNAcentral